This is an RNA transcript of Macrosteles quadrilineatus (aster leafhopper), 1523 nucleotides long. It is a transcript of the gene named serine/arginine-rich splicing factor 7-like, with no coding region annotated. The transcript has 7 exons. The record is from RefSeq and is a predicted model, not a curated record. Lineage: Eukaryota; Metazoa; Arthropoda; Insecta; Hemiptera; Cicadellidae.
AUUUUGUUUUCUCUCCUUCCCGUUUCUGUGCCGGUCACCCUGCUUGUUUGGUGUUUGUCAUUUCAAGAAGUGUUAUUCAUGAAAAGUAGCGGGUUGUGAACUACAAAAUAGGUGACUCAAAGAUGUCUCGGUACCGAGAUUCUGGUAAUGCAGACUGCAAGAUUUAUGUUGGAGAUUUAGGAUCAUCCGCUUCAAAACAAGAUUUGGAAGAAGCAUUUUCUUAUUAUGGACCGAUCCGUAAUGUUUGGGUGGCCAGAAACCCACCCGGCUUUGCAUUUGUUGAAUUUGAAGACCCCAGAGAUGCAGAGGAUGCAGUACGAGGUUUGGACGGAAGGACUGUGUGUGGCCGACGUGUGAGGGUAGAGAUGUCUAACGGAGCUCGAAAGAGUGGUUAUCGAGGUCCGCCACCUCGCCGCAGCCGCCCGUUCCACCCGGAGGAUCGCUGCUAUGAGUGUGGCGAGCGUGGACAUUACGCUCGGGACUGCACACGCUACCGAGGCCGAGGAAGGAGAAGGUCAUAUAGUCGUAGCAGGUCUCGCUCACGCUCUCGUGACCGCCGCACUCGUAGCCGCAGCGCCUCUCGCAGUAGAUCCCGUGGCCGCAGCAAGUCACGCACACCCAAGGACCGCAGCAAGAGCAAGUCCAGGUCCAGGUCCCGUUCGCGCAGCAGGUAAACAAAUCGCCCAGAGCCAACUGAACAUCUAGUAUAACGUUCCAAACCAUCUGCAAAACAGUCAAAUUGCUGUACACACUCAUUUGGAACAACUGGAUGUCCAUGAAGUUAUACCACCUCAUUCAGUGUAGUUUUACCUUGAUGGCAUAAGUAUUAGAAUAUCAAUGUUGUAUUUUGACUAUUUUGUACUAAGUUUGUUUCAACAUGCUUGUAAUCAUUUUAAUUUUUUAUAGUUUGUCAGUUCUAAGUUUUGUUCUCAAGUGGGGAGGAAAUUAAUGUCUUUAAAUGCAAUAAAGGACUCCAUUUACCUAAUGAAGUAUAAUGAUUUGAAGUUUUUUAAUAUUGAAAAAUAUUGACAACUCUCACACAACUUCCUGUGUCGAUAAAUUGGGUUUUUUCCUCAUGCUAGAUUCCCAAUAUUCUUAUACUUAAAGAUAUUAGUUAUCUCUACAUUUGAACAGUUUUUGACAAGGUUUAAUCCUACCUAAUAUACGACCUAAAUAGGCAUAUUGUAUUUUUUGUCUUGAUUUUAAAUAAUAACUUAGUUGUGCAAUUGUUUGGGCAUUUUUGGUAUUCUUAAGUAAAAUAUUCAUCUUUGAAGUUGACCCUUUUACAUACUUGUUUUGUCAAAGUAUGUAUAAUGGUUUUGACGGAAAUUUAAAUGUAUGAAUUUGUACUGAAAUUGUUUCAGCCCUCUCUCUAUAUUGUGGUUUUAAUGUACAGUACAAAUAAAACCUUUUCAAAAGUUAUAAUUAUGUUCCAUUAUAUGUCUGUUUUGAGCUUGAAACUCUACUAGCUAAGAACUGUGUUAUUAUUUGAAUUAUGUAAUAAUAAAAGGUACAUUUCCUCA